GAUACGUAAUGUGAAUUGCAGAAUUCAGUGAAUCAUCGAAUCUUUGAACGCAUCUUGCACCUCUUGGUAUUCCGAGGGGUACACCCGUUUGAGUGUCGUG
Molecule: ribosomal RNA, 100 nt
Filed under: Boidinia propinqua
Lineage: Eukaryota; Fungi; Basidiomycota; Agaricomycetes; Russulales; Russulaceae
Description: partial 5.8S ribosomal RNA
Rfam family: 5.8S ribosomal RNA
About the family: 5.8S ribosomal RNA (5.8S rRNA) is a component of the large subunit of the eukaryotic ribosome. It is transcribed by RNA polymerase I as part of the 45S precursor that also contains 18S and 28S rRNA. Functionally, it is thought that 5.8S rRNA may be involved in ribosome translocation.
Source: RNAcentral